RNAcentral lists this ribosomal RNA (159 nucleotides) under Scrippsiella hangoei. RNAcentral's name for it is "partial Eukaryotic large subunit ribosomal RNA". It matches the Rfam family "Eukaryotic large subunit ribosomal RNA", at positions 3011 to 3159 of the family's 3401-position model. Lineage: Eukaryota; Dinophyceae; Peridiniales; Peridiniaceae. The record is from RNAcentral.
UCGCUACAGUAAUCCAACAUAGUACGAGAGGAACCGUUGGGUCAGAUCACUGGUAAUGCGAUUUCCUGACCAGGAAGUGUCGCCAAGCUACCAUCUGUUUGAUUAUGACUGAACGCCUCUAAGUCAGAAUCACUACUGGAACGCGACGUCCGCCAGUCG